GAAAUGACUAUUAGCAAGAAAAUGUUAAUCGUUGUAUCAGAGUGUUGAGAAAGCUUCUCCUAGAGUUAAGAGAAAAGAAAAGAAUGAUAUGAAAAAGAGUUUGAAAGAUUCAUGAGUGCAAAGGGUAGAGUUAAGUUCUUGUAUUGGGACUGGAGUUGGGAUUACCAUUAGAGCUUCAUUGUUAUACUCUGGGUAGAUGGGAUCUUAUCUCUGUAUGCAUAACUUGGGACUUACCUUUAACUACUAAAGCUCAAUCAUUCUUGUGAGAUCCCCUGUUACUUAAGCUUAUUCUGUGAGGGACCAUCUUUGUCUCUUGACCUUCACCUUAGCCAAAUGAGUUCAUUGAUGAUGCAUUGCUUGAUUCACGUUCCAGAACUAAUGAAUGUUAAAGGGAUUGGUAGAUUUGAAAGCAUGUGUAGGUCGAGUAUAAGAGACGGAUUGAUUGAUAACAAGGCAUGGCUAACGUUUUUGAGUAAAAUUCAAUCAUAUCGCAUCUUAGAACUACCAACUUGGACAUUGAUUUUAUUUGCUCUACUUGAUUCUUUGGCUGAGUCCCCACCUUCAAACCUCUCCUUCAACUAUGUAUUCUUAUUUGCUUGAGGGCAAGCAAAGACUAAGUUUGGGAGAAUUG
This 631-nucleotide small RNA is filed under the name Arabidopsis thaliana (thale cress). Its description in RNAcentral is "ATSL039900". The record is from RNAcentral. Lineage: Eukaryota; Viridiplantae; Streptophyta; Magnoliopsida; Brassicales; Brassicaceae.